GCUUACGGCCAUACCACCCUGAGAACGCCCGAUCUCGUCCGAUCUCGGAAGCUAAGCAGGGUCGGGCCUGGUUAGUACUUGGAUGGGAGACCACCUGGGAAUACCAGGUGCUGUAAGCA
Molecule: ribosomal RNA, 119 nt
Filed under: Takifugu rubripes (torafugu)
Lineage: Eukaryota; Metazoa; Chordata; Actinopteri; Tetraodontiformes; Tetraodontidae
Source: RNAcentral